GAUGAACGCUGGCGGCGUGCCUAAUACAUGCAAGUCGAGCGAACAGACGAGGAACUUGCUCCUCUGACGUUAGCGGCGGACGGGUGAGUAACACGUGGAUAACCUACCUAUAAGACUGGGAUAACUUCGGGAAACCGGAGCUAAUACCGGAUAAUAUAUUGAACCGCAUGGUUCAAUAGUGAAAGACGGUUUUGCUGUCACUUAUAGAUGUAUCCGCGCCGCAUUAGCUAGUUGGUAAGGUAACGGUUUACCAAGGCAACGAUGCUUAGCCGACCUGGGAGGGGGAUCGGCCACAUGGGAACUGGAACACGGCCCAGACCCCUACGGGAGGAACCAGUAGGGAAUCUUCCGCAAGGGGCGAAAGCUUGACGGAGCAACGCCGCGUGAGUGAUGAAGGUCUUCGGAUCGUAAAACUCUGUUAUUAGGGAAGAACAAAUGUGUAAGUAACUAUGCACGUCUUGACGGUACCUAAUCAGAAAGCCACGGCUAACUACGUG
This 497-nucleotide ribosomal RNA is filed under the name uncultured bacterium. RNAcentral's name for it is "partial 16S ribosomal RNA". It matches the Rfam family "Bacterial small subunit ribosomal RNA", at positions 28 to 507 of the family's 1533-position model. The record is from RNAcentral.